CGCCGCUGCAGCCAGCACCCGCCGUCGGCUCCUCCUUCCCCACCAUCCGGGUCGCCUCGCCGGAAUCUCGGUCCCCAUCGGUGCAGGUCACCUUGACAGCACCUACGUCCUCACCAACCCAGGCAAGAUCACUGUUCCCGGCCUCCUCUCUUCCUCUCCCGGUCCAUAUUGCUCUUAGCUUUAGUUAAUUGAUUGCAUAACUCGGUUCAGUUGCUAACUGUGUGACUUGUAGGCUAGCUAGGGAAUCUUGUGGGUUCUUCUCAUUUCCCUCCCAGAUAGUGAGAUGUUCUUUGAUUUGUACUUUGUGUUUGACGCUAGCAUGAGUUCGGCGUGUACAGGGAAGAGGUUGCGAGAAGAUUGGUUCAAAUCUUGGUGAAGACCAAGGUAGUUGUAAUGUGGAUACAGGAAAAAAUGCUUAGACAAUGUCAAGCAGGUCCAAAUGAUGUUCAAACUGGAGACCUUCUUCUAACCGUUAAAAAGGCAAAGUAUUCGGCACGCUUAUUUAUUCAUUUUACCGAGCAUGGUUGUUUUGAAACUAAUAUGGUGCUUUUUGGGCAUUUGUUGAUGUUGGAGAAAGCGGUGGUACUAUAGUGGACGAUGUUGCAUCCUCUAUGCAGUUUUUGGUUAUUCUUGAUUCCCACUAUCCACUCUCAUAUGGAAAGGCAGAUUAUUCUCUCCAAUCAGGCCAUUCAUAUAUUUAUCCCUUGUGGGCACACACAUACUCGUGUGCAGUUGGAGACGGAUGUAAAUGAUUUUCAUUCACCUGUGAAGAUGCCUGUAUUCCUUGCAACAGUUUUCCGUGAUUGGACAUUUCCGAAUUAGUGAGAGAGGUUGGGUAGAAGCUCGUCAUGACGUGUUUUUCUUUAAUUUCCUUUCUCCAACUAAGCUAUCAUCUUGAAAUAUUUUCUUUUUUGCAUUGCUACGACAGAAGUGUGUGGCUGCGAGGAGGAGCAAUAUAUAAAAAGGAAACUGUGUUGUCACGGAGUUGUAAAUAUUGGCGCGGCUUCAUUGGUGGCUCAUGGCCCUUUCAUAUGAAUUAGUCCCCAACCAAGGUAUUUUACUUAUCCCCAUCUUUAAUUCGUUGGUUUGGACAGUUCUUGCCAUCUGGAAUCCUGUGUCAGCAGCAACUGCUUCAUCUAAGGUAAUUGCUUUCUCCUCUUUAAGAAGCAAGAAAGUUUUAUAUUCAGUCUUUGUUCCCACUGGGUUCCGUGUCCUGCAUUUGCAUGUGAUAGAUUAAAUUUCUACAUGGUUGUUAAUUUUUAGGCCUGUUAUUAGUCCAUCUGCGUAGGUUCUUUUUAUUCUGUUUGGGACAUUGUGUGCUUCCUCUGUGUUUAUUAAUUGUUCAGCUCUACCUCUUAUUUAUUCGGUAGUGUGACUUGCAUGUGUACCACAGUUAUGUAGAUAAAGGAAUUUAUCUCAUCCCUUUAGGUAUUCACACGUGACUGAAUAACAAUUCUUGCGCUUAUGCUCAGUAGUUGGAUAUGCUUUGGUUUGCAUCACAAACUGUGUAGAGCUUUCUUCGAAUAUGUAUAUAUUUUGUUAGUUCGUUGGUUUGUCAGAUCCUUCAAAGCAAAUGGUUUGAAAGAAUUACUUAUGUAACUCGUUUAAUUUCUAUUCACAUGAUGGUGCUUGUAACACUUUCUACAUAGUGAUAUCUACUCUACCAUGAUAUGAUAUCAGGAUAUGUCAAGAGGCUCUGUUGUGCUAUUUUUCUUUUCCGAAAUGAAAUAUUUGUUUGUGUUUAGUUUGGACCUUCAUGUACAAACAUAGCGUUUCCAAGUCCUUUGUCAAUGUCAAAUUACAGGGCACUUUUAAUAGUGUGUUACAGGAAAAAAAAUGUUGGUUCUAGCCCAAUUUAGAUUGGUGUUAUAAUUAUCAUCUAUGCCUGGAUGUCCUAUUUGGAGUGAUUACGCUGAACCAUGUGGGGCUCAGGAUAAAAUAAUCAUUCAGUAACAAAGGAAUGAUUCAUGGAUGAUAAAGACAAUUGCAGUUUUGCUACUUUUUUCUGUUCACCACUAACUUUAGGUUUUUAGUGUUUUCACAGGUUGCUUGAUACAUACACCACCCUGGGUGCUACAAUUGUAGUUAUUAGGAUUAUGUAAAGUUUCCUUGUGAAUCUGUUGUGUAAGCGCCUUGCAGUUUCUUGCAUUUUAUGAGAUUUCAUUAUGGAACUUAACAUAGAACCCGCUUCCAUUAGCUAGGAUCGCUUCUUCUUCAGUGAAUCCCUUUUAUGGAACUGCAUAUAACUAAAUCUUAAUAACUUCAAUAGGUAACUUUCUUAUAUUUCAGAGAGAAGUAAGUUUGCUAAUUGCCUAUUUUAAUUGUAAUACCUGCCGUGUUAUUCUCUGGAAUUUAUAGCAUUUAUAUUUUUUUUUCUGCUUGAGAAGGUUGUAUCGAGAGCUGUACAACUCUAUUGAGAUAUUUGAUGUAUGUUAAAUCAGAAGUGCUGCUAUCCAUGUGCAAGACACUCAUACAUUUUGGUUUCCCUGGUGAUGUGCUUCAUCGACCACUGCUACGAAAGGCCUAUUUGAUUAGGAUUACAACAGAAAGAUAUGUAUAUAUGCAAGACAAGAUUAGUUCAAAACUUAGUCGAGCUAUCCUUUUGAAUUUCUUUCAUGCAAACAUGUUUUGCCUAGGUAAUGCUUCAAAUCACCAUGUACUAGAUUAGUUAAGAGUUUGGAAGCAUUCUUCAUGGUAUUGCCUUGCAAAAUUGAAUGUUAAG
This is a long non-coding RNA of Lolium rigidum, 2722 nucleotides long. RefSeq lists it as uncharacterized. The transcript is spliced from 4 exons. The record is from RefSeq and is a predicted model, not a curated record. Lineage: Eukaryota; Viridiplantae; Streptophyta; Magnoliopsida; Poales; Poaceae.